UGGGGCGCUGGCCCAGACGGGUGUGACGAUCGAGGUCGUGGUCCUCGACGACGGCUCGACGGACGGCACGGGGGCGAUCGUCGCCGCGCGCGCCGCAACC
This 100-nucleotide transfer RNA is filed under the name Palleronia marisminoris. RNAcentral's name for it is "tRNA-His". The record is from RNAcentral. Lineage: Bacteria; Pseudomonadati; Pseudomonadota; Alphaproteobacteria; Rhodobacterales; Roseobacteraceae.